AGAGGAGGAGAGGAAGAGGAGAUGAGAAGAGGAGAGGAAGAGAAGGUGAGAGGAGGACAGGAAGAGGAGAGGAGGAGAGGAAGAGGAGGUGAGAAGAGGAGAGGGGAGUGCAGGAGGAAACAGAGAAGAAGAAGAAGAAGGAAAGGAAAAAGGAGAGAGCCAAAGAAAAGCAGACUUGAUGUGCGGCUGUCUGUCUCUCUCUCUUGGUUCAAACCACAGCGGUUACUACCAGCCUGUCGGCGUAACCAUGGCGACCUCCGUAGCAGGAAGUUGAGAGCAGAGUCGACUUCCUGCUGCACAUGUAAAUAUGCAGCAGAGACA
Scomber japonicus (chub mackerel) is the source of this 321-nucleotide long non-coding RNA. RefSeq lists it as uncharacterized. The record is from RefSeq and is a predicted model, not a curated record. Lineage: Eukaryota; Metazoa; Chordata; Actinopteri; Scombriformes; Scombridae. The transcript has 3 exons.